Molecule: transfer RNA, 83 nt
Filed under: Schistocephalus solidus
Lineage: Eukaryota; Metazoa; Platyhelminthes; Cestoda; Diphyllobothriidea; Diphyllobothriidae
Rfam family: tRNA
About the family: Transfer RNA (tRNA) molecules are approximately 80 nucleotides in length. Their secondary structure includes four short double-helical elements and three loops (D, anti-codon, and T loops).
Source: Rfam by way of RNAcentral
GGCCUCGUAGCUCAGUUGGGUAGAGCGUUGAUUGUACUAAAGCCUUCCCCUUGCUGGCGUGGGUUCGAAUCCCACCGAGGCCA